This 92-nucleotide transfer RNA is filed under the name Deltaproteobacteria bacterium. RNAcentral's name for it is "tRNA-Ser". It matches the Rfam family "tRNA". Rfam says of the family: Transfer RNA (tRNA) molecules are approximately 80 nucleotides in length. The record is from RNAcentral. Lineage: Bacteria; Pseudomonadati; Myxococcota; Myxococcia.
GGAGAGGUUCGGGAGUCAGGUUUAACCGGCGUGACUCGAAAUCACGUGUGCCCUCGCUGGCACCGGGGGUUCGAAUCCCCCCCUCUCCGCCA